Benincasa hispida (wax gourd) is the source of this 2959-nucleotide non-coding RNA. The record is from RefSeq and is a predicted model, not a curated record. Lineage: Eukaryota; Viridiplantae; Streptophyta; Magnoliopsida; Cucurbitales; Cucurbitaceae.
UAGUUAAAAUGGGCGCGCUCUAGAAUGACCGUUGGCUUCUGGACUUCACUCAGUGUUCAGUUGGCGUACGCAAAGUUCCUUCAAAUUCCUCCACACAGCCUCUUCCCUCUCUGCUAGCUGCUUCCAUGGCUUUUCUUCUCCACAACCACAGCCAUCUUCACUACAAUUCUUCUCUCUCCACACCCAUUCCCAACCUCCAUUGGACCCGAAAUCUUCUCCCCUCCCGCCGAAGACCCAAGUUUUCUCGGAAACCUAGGGUUUUAACUUUCCGGGUAAAUCAUAAGGGUCGCCUCGGCGUAUCCUCUUUUCCUUGCUUCUGCAGAUCAGGGACCGAAGUUGAAAAUUUACCUCUCCUAGAAGAAACUGAACGACGGCCCUUUGAUAUCAAUCUCGCCGUUAUUCUUGCCGGUUUCGCGUUUGAAGCAUACACUAGCCCCCCUGAAAAUUUUGGGAAGCGUGAAGUUGAUGCUGCAGGCUGUACGACUGUAUAUCUUUCAGAGUCAUUUGUUCGAGAGAUAUAUGAUGGUCAACUGUUCAUAAAAUUGAAGAAGGGCAUUGAUUUACCUGCAAUGGAUCCGUGGGGAACGAGCGAUCCAUAUGUGGUGUUUCAAUUGGAUGGUCAGGUUGCUAAAAGCAAGACAAAAUGGGGGACAAAGCAGCCAACAUGGAACGAGGACUUCACUCUUAACAUCAAAGAGCCUUCAACUAAAUAUGUUCAGGUUGCUGCGUGGGAUGCAAACUUGGUGACUCCACAUAAACGAAUGGGUAAUGCAGGCAUCAAUCUGGAAUCUCUUUGUGAUGGAAAUUUGCAUGAUGUAACAGUGGAGUUAGAAGGGAUGGGUGGAGGUGGAAAGUUGCUGAUGGAGAUCAAGUAUAGGACUUUUGAUGAAAUUGAAGAUGACAAACGAUGGUGGAGAGUUCCCUUCAUUUCUGAAUUUCUUCGCAGCAAUGGUUUUGUAUCUGCUUUAAACAAGGUUGUUGGAUCUGACACCGUGCCUGUGCGUCAGUUUGUAGAAUAUGCUUUUGGAAAGUUAAAGUCAUUCAAUGACGAGUACCAAUCAAGUCAUCAUUUAUUAAGCAAGCAAAACAACGCAGAGGAUAUACCCUCAUACGUGCAGACGAAUACCAAAGUCUCUAUAACUGAUAUAAAGUAUCCCAAUGAGGGAAAAUCUGAUGAGGUUGAAAUAAAUGAUAAUACUGUGGAAAGUGGACAGUUGCUGAAAGAAGUGACGCAAAGUCUCUUAACAAAGCAAUUCGAUAAACAAUUUUGGACAAACUUGGCUGAUGUAACAAACCAAAAUAUUGUCAAGAAGCUAGGUCUUCCUGCUCCUGAGAAAUUCAAGUGGGAUGGAUUUGAGUUACUAAAUAAAAUUGGUUUGGAGGCACGAAAGAGUGCUGAAGCAGGUUAUAUCGAAUCGGGGCUUGCAACGCCCAAAAGUUUGGAUGUUGAUCACGAACAGAAGAACAUUAGAAUGGUGGACUCAACACUAACUGAUGUGAAGAAAGUAACAAAAGAUCUAUUAAGUCAAACUGAGUCUGUUUUAGGGGCAUUGAUGGUUCUGACAGCAACAAUUUCUCAAUUGAACAAGGAAGCGCGGCUUGUAGGAAAGAAAGAUACUAAAGAUGAGGGCUCUAAAAAAGAGGGAGAGAAGCUUGGUAGUUCAGGGGAUGGAUCAUUGUUGGAUAAUAGGAAUUCUGAGGAAAUGAAAGCACUUUUUGCAACUGCAGAAAGUGCGAUGGAAGCUUGGGCAAUGCUUGCUACAUCACUUGGCCAUCCUAGUUUCAUAAAGUCGGAAUUUGAAAAGUUAUGUUUCUUAGAUAACGAGUCUACAGACACACAGGUUGCAAUUUGGCGUGAUUUUAUGCGGAGGAGACUAGUUGUUGCCUUCAGGGGCACAGAACAAUCAAGAUGGAAGGACUUAAGAACAGACCUGAUGCUAGUCCCUGCAGGGUUAAAUCCUGAAAGGAUAAGUGGAGAUUUCAACGAGGAAGUUCAAGUUCACAGUGGGUUCUUAAGUGCGUAUGAUUCAGUACGAAUGAGAAUUAUUUCCCUCAUUAAAAUGGCCAUUAAUUAUAAUGAUGAAUGUGCUGAGCCACCAGUCAAAUGGCAUGUUUAUGUUACAGGUCACAGUUUGGGUGGUGCAUUAGCUACACUUCUUGCUCUUGAACUUUCGUCAAGUCAACUUGCAAGGCACGAGGCAGUAACUGUGACCAUGUAUAAUUUCGGAUCUCCUAGAGUUGGCAACCGGCAAUUUGCAGAAAUUUAUAACAAGGCCUUGAUGAAGAUUGAUGAAGAUUUUGCGAAUCUCAGAUUUAUGAGAAAAUGACAACUUUAUAGGGACUUACAUCUAGAUGGGAGCAUUGGUCAAGUAAGUCUCAUUCUCGUAUGGAAUUUAUUAGGAGUUACGAGGGUUUGAUUAGUAUUAAGAAUUUACCUUUGAUUUACUAGAAGAAAUCAGUCUCUGAAACUAUUGGCAUCAUUUCGGUGGUCUAGUUAGCUCCUCGUCACAAACCCUCAAUUGUUUGUUCCUAUGCAGUGAUAGAGGUGCAAAAAACAUUUGUGAUUUUCUUCCUGCAGAGAUGCUAAACAAUUGAGGGUGAUGGAAGCACAACAAUCUUUGGUUCUUUCUCUCGAGAUUGAUGAACAGAUUUUAGAUCCUUCUAGGAGGUUCUAAGACUCAAUUUACUGGAGGUAUUGCUUGUCAUUCUUCAUCCAAUGAUCUCUCUCGCUCCAAUGAUUCUGAUGAGGACUCAGUUGUUAGUGUGAGUCUACGGCUCCUAGGCUUUUGCAUUCCAGGCUCUAAUUAGACAGAAAAUCUAACUGGUGGCAUCUAAAGUGAAAGACAGUUGGAGAGUUGUGAACCACAGAGACAUUAUACCAACAGUUCCUCGUUUGAUGGGUUAUUGCCACGUGGCUCAGCCUGUGUAUCUAGCGGCUGGAGAUCUGAAUGACGCAUUA